AUGCUUCAAAGUAUUAUUAAAAAUGUGUGGAUCCCCAUGAAGCUCUACUAUACCAAGUUUACCAGGAUAUUUGGGUCGGAAUGGGGCUGAUGAACCUCACCGUUCAUAAAAUCCAGACUGCUAAUAAAAGAAGUAAAGCUUUGAAAGCUCUGGCGCCUGCUCAUGGUCAUCACUAAUCAGCUUUACCUGGCAUACACAUGAAAUGAAACAUCAGUCAGCCUGUAAAUUUAAGCAAGCUGU
RNA transcript from Mandrillus leucophaeus (drill), 240 nucleotides. It is a transcript of the gene named 6.8 kDa mitochondrial proteolipid pseudogene, with no coding region annotated. NCBI's taxonomy places the organism in Eukaryota, Metazoa, Chordata, Mammalia, Primates, Cercopithecidae. The record is from RefSeq and is a predicted model, not a curated record. The transcript has a single exon.